RNAcentral lists this ribosomal RNA (252 nucleotides) under uncultured bacterium. RNAcentral describes it as "partial 16S ribosomal RNA". It matches the Rfam family "Bacterial small subunit ribosomal RNA", at positions 524 to 776 of the family's 1533-position model. The record is from RNAcentral.
CACGUAGGGUGCGAGCGUUGUCCGGAAUUAUUGGCGUAAAGAGCUCGUAGGCGGUGUGUCGCGUCGCCGUGAAAACCUGCAGCUUAACUGUGGCUGCGGUCGAUACGGGCAUCACUGGAGUUCGGCAGGGGAGACUGGAAUUCCUGGUGUAGCGGUGAAAAUGCGCAGAUAUCAGGAGGAACACCGGUGGCGAAAGGCGGGUCUCUGGGCCGAUACUGACGCUGAGGAGCGAAAGCGUGGGGAGCGAAACAG